AAACUCGUCGAUGCUAUGGCAGAUGACGGAAUGAGAACGUCAAAUGUACAUGCAGAUUGAUGAGAUGCAAAAACGAGAAAAAGUUGGACUACAUAGUGUAACCAAUGUCAUGCUACUAUUGUAAAUUUUGAAAUUUCUGCUUAUAAUUACUAAAUUUAGCUACAUUUAUUAUAUAAAUAUUAAUCCUAACGAGGCAAACUUUGUGAAUUCGCCUAGCUUACCUAUACUAGAACUAGUUGAUCUGAAGAUUGGAAUUGUUAAUUGAUCCGAAGCAACUAGAAAAUAGGUUGAAGCGUAAAGGAAGUCUAAGGGAGAAGAACCCGUGAGCAAGAAGAAGUAGGAAGAACAGUGAUUAAACUAAACGUAGGUCGGUCAAUGAAAUCAAUAAUGAAUUAGACUAAUCGAUGAAUUUCUAGGAAAUUUUUAAUGCUCGCCAAUAAACAUUAAAAAAUCGGAAUCCUCUGCUCUCUUCCUCUUCAAUCCCGUUGACGGAGCGUCAACAAUUUAAAAAUUUCGUUUAUCUCCCACACCGAUUCGGCGAUGCUUGGGCGAACGCCAAUCAAGACGAGGAGCGCCGCGGCGGCUCGUGAUGGUCGGUCUGCAGCUGGGUCUUCACGAGAAGACAUCGUGCGUAACGAUGGAAAUCAACACUGCAAAGCCUGCACCGACGAGGACAACACUCGAAUGGUCCAGUGCGAUAAAUGCGACGACUGGUACCAUUUCGAGUGCGUAGAAGUCAGCCGAGGUGUCGCAGACCGUGAUUGGCACUGUCCUAUCUGCCAGUCUGCCGAAAAAGGAGCAAAGAAGAAACAUUCGACUAAGGUGGCCUCUAAAGAGUCGAUCGUGAGUACGUCAGCUCCCAUAAAUCCCGCUAUUAGAGUUACAUCAGUCCCAUUGAACGUUGUUCCCCAAAUCCCGACAAAUUUAUCUGACUUGCCCUAUGAAACAAGAAGUGAUGUUAACAAGUCUGUGUUAACUCAUGUUGCCUCGAAUAUGAUAUUUCCGCCUGUUUCUGCCAAUAAAGCUAACAAUACGUUAAAUCCACAAAAUCCCUACGCUGUAAACAGUACCGCUCUCCCUUCAAAUAUGCUGUUACCACCAAGCAUAUUCACCCUCGCCGGUAGUUCUGUAUCGUCUAACCCGGCUUAUACGUUCAUGUCGUCGAAUUCGUUAGUACAGUCAACAGCGCCAGCGUGCACUCUCAAUGCCUUUCCGAGGAUGACUGAUAUCAGGCAGGGCCUUCCGAUAGUUUCUAGGCCCCAGCCGACACCAACAG
Aedes albopictus (Asian tiger mosquito) is the source of this 1276-nucleotide long non-coding RNA. RefSeq lists it as uncharacterized. The transcript has 3 exons. NCBI's taxonomy places the organism in Eukaryota, Metazoa, Arthropoda, Insecta, Diptera, Culicidae. The record is from RefSeq and is a predicted model, not a curated record.